ACGAGAGACUGAGAAACGAAAUGCACCUCAUCUGCUCCAAGUUUAGUUUGACGCGAGCUCUAAUCUAUGUUUUAAGAAAAUAGAAGUGUCAAGUUCUUUCUGUUUAUCGUUUUAAUUUCCCUUUCGGCAUCAUAAAGACUGUUCAACCCUUAAUCAAAACAUAUAUUUUAAAAUUCAAGAGAUUUCCUGUACAAAGCCAACAAAGUAGUAACCUUAUCUCAUUUAUCUUUCGGUAAGGCGAAACAUGAUCUGGUCCAUAUAUAGAUCUGAUCGAGACAAGGAUUCUUAGAAAGGACAUUCUCUGAAGAAAGGCUUUUGAGGACAUGCAAUUGUAACCGUGGCUCGGAGUAGAUCUUUCUUGUUUAAAAGGCAACUUAGCAACUAGAUUGUUAAGCAUGGCUCUGCUGCUUAUCCUACUACAAGUAUCACUGAUGUGGCCACAAAGUGCGUAUUCUGGAGAGCAGAAAAAAGGCAACGAUGCACUAAAUCCGCAGUCUAGCUUGGAAAUCGAGGGAUUUAGAAAAAGGAUAACUUUGUCUGAUGCAGCCCUUCCACCGUCCGUCUCUAGGACGAAUUCCUGGAAAGGAAAACGAGAAGCAAUGUCUGAUGCAGCCCUCUCACCGUCCAUCUUUAAAAAGCCAGGGUUUGGGAAAAGAGAACUAGCUCAGUCUGAUUACGCUCCGCUUCCAGUCUAUGAUCUUCCACCGUCCGUCUCUAGGACGAAUUCCUGGAAGGGAAAACGAGAAGCAAUGUCUGAUGUAGCCCUUCCACCGUCCAUCUUUAAAAAACCAGGGUUUGGGAAAAGAGAACUAGCUCAGUCUGAUUACGCUCCGCUUCCAGUCUACGAUCGUCUGUAGACUUUAUUAUCCCUAUGAUGUACACCAGAAGAUAAUUUAGAUUAAGAUAGACCCUUGCAGUCACCAGAUAUAGAUAGAAACUUUAAAAUGCUUGUGUAAGACUUGAUUCUCUUUUAGCACAGUAAUGUAAUCUGCUUCUGUGGAGAUGUGAGAUAAAAAGUUUGAAAUACUCUG
Stylophora pistillata is the source of this 1031-nucleotide long non-coding RNA. Lineage: Eukaryota; Metazoa; Cnidaria; Anthozoa; Scleractinia; Pocilloporidae. The record is from RefSeq and is a predicted model, not a curated record.